This is a small nucleolar RNA of Paramormyrops kingsleyae, 217 nucleotides long. Its record names the gene U3. It matches the Rfam family "Small nucleolar RNA U3". Rfam says of the family: Small nucleolar RNAs (snoRNAs) are involved in the processing and modification of rRNA in the nucleolus. There are two main classes of snoRNAs: the box C/D class, and the box H/ACA class. The record is from Ensembl. NCBI's taxonomy places the organism in Eukaryota, Metazoa, Chordata, Actinopteri, Osteoglossiformes, Mormyridae.
AAGACUAUACUUUCAGGGAUCAUUUCUGUAGUUUCUGACUGGAGAAAUGCAUUAUGAAAGUGUUUGGUCAUGCUGGCCACGAUGAGGAAGUAUGGCAUUCUCUUCUGAGCAUGAAGCAGUUAAAGAACAUGGGAAUUUUUCCAUGGUUCUGUGACUUUGAUGAUUGUGCCGGAAUCUCUAUGGAGAAGCUAGUGGAAGAGAAUGCUGUCUGAGGGGU